Non-coding RNA from Otolemur garnettii (small-eared galago), 313 nucleotides. The record is from Rfam. NCBI's taxonomy places the organism in Eukaryota, Metazoa, Chordata, Mammalia, Primates, Galagidae.
GCCGGGCGUUGUGGCGGGCGCCUGUGUUCCCAGCUACUUGGGAGGCGGAGGCAGGAGACUCGCUUGAGCCCAGGAGUUGGAGGUUGCUGUGAGCUGUAAUGCCACGGCACUCUGCCCAGGGGGACAGCUUGAGGCUCUGUCUCCAAAAAAAAAAAAAAAAAUGAUGAAGCCUUUACCUCUCUAAUGUUUUGUUUUUUUGUUUUUUUGUUUUUUUGAGACAGAGCCUCAAGCUGUCCCCCUGGGCAGAGUGCCGUGGCAUUACAGCUCACAGCAACCUCCAACUCCUGGGCUCAAGCGAGUCUCUUGCCUCCGC